UGUCCAAUGAUUAAGACUUACACCUUUGAGGGUUUCCCGAUGGCGAGCCAUGUGCUGUGCGGGCUGGGGAUCACCUCGUGGUCGCCAGGCGCACGCGGGGACUCCAAUGCUCCACGUGCCCGGCUUGUGUGCUCUCCAAAAGGUCCCGAGGAUUUACAGAUUAUGAGAUCUGAGGACACACCGCGC
Non-coding RNA from Drosophila melanogaster (fruit fly), 186 nucleotides. NCBI's taxonomy places the organism in Eukaryota, Metazoa, Arthropoda, Insecta, Diptera, Drosophilidae. The record is from Ensembl.